AAGUAAGAAGCGAAUACUUGCAACCAGUUUCGACCUGGAAUACUAGAUGUUAUAAACAUCCUUACUUG
RNAcentral lists this transfer RNA (68 nucleotides) under Macromia amphigena. Its description in RNAcentral is "tRNA-Arg". The record is from RNAcentral. Lineage: Eukaryota; Metazoa; Arthropoda; Insecta; Odonata; Macromiidae.